Molecule: long non-coding RNA, 683 nt
Organism: Symphalangus syndactylus (siamang)
Lineage: Eukaryota; Metazoa; Chordata; Mammalia; Primates; Hylobatidae
Source: RefSeq, a predicted model, not a curated record
UCACUGCUUUUUCUUAGGUUUCCUUUGGGAGGGGAAGGAAUAACCUUGAAGAGAGGUUUCCAUUGUCCCCAGUGCUGAGAAUUCGCCCAAGGGCAGUCACCUGAUUACAACAGAAGAGACCUGGAAACCAGCCCACGUGACCCCACAUUCCACAUGCUUGACAAGAGUGGAGCUUUUGGGACUCUGCAUAGUUACUGGAAUCACAUGGAAUAUAACAAGGGAAACAUGGGGGUGGAGGACAUUUAACAUUCUCCAUGCACUAGGAGAACAGAUAACACCCCAGAGAUGGAAAUGAUGGAAUAUAAUUUAGCCAUCAUCCUUCCCCAAUGUUGAAUAUGUUGAGUCUUGCAAUGCAAAUGAUUGGCAAUGGGAACAACCAUUUGAAAUUGGGCAAGGGCAUUCUCUGUCAUUAGGACCACCAUCAUCUACCAGCCACAAUGGACAUCCUGACAGCACGAUGUGUCUUCAGCUAUCAGCUCAUCCCAUAUUUAACCAACCCAAUGACUUCCAUAUGAUGGGGAACUGCAUCCUGUUACAAGUCUUGGAGAAAUAUUCAGUCCAUCUACAACAAAAUCGCUUUCUGCACUGAAUAUUCGGUGAGUUUUUCCCUGGGGAAAGAGCUUGUACUUAAAAAUACACACGUCCCAGGGUUAAGUACAAAAAUAGAGCUAUUCCAUUUGAUA